RNAcentral lists this ribosomal RNA (324 nucleotides) under uncultured eukaryote. Its description in RNAcentral is "partial 18S ribosomal RNA". It matches the Rfam family "Eukaryotic small subunit ribosomal RNA", at positions 1470 to 1796 of the family's 1831-position model. The record is from RNAcentral.
CCCUUAGAUGUUCUGGGCUGCACGCGCGCUACACUGAUGCGCUCAACGAGUUUUAACCUUGCCUGGAAAGGUUGGGUAAUCUUUUUAAAACGCAUCGUGAUGGGGAUAGAUUAUUGCAAUUAUUAAUCUUCAACGAGGAAUUCCUAGUAAGCGCGAGUCAUCAGCUCGUGCUGAUUACGUCCCUGCCCUUUGUACACACCGCCCGUCGCUCCUACCGAUUGAAUGUUUCGGUGAAGAUUCCGGAUAGGACUGAUUUGAUUUAUUUCAUUUCUGACCUAAAAGCUAUCUAAACCUCAACAUUUAGAGGAAGGUGAAGUCGUAACA